Molecule: small RNA, 83 nt
Filed under: Marmota monax (woodchuck)
Lineage: Eukaryota; Metazoa; Chordata; Mammalia; Rodentia; Sciuridae
Source: RNAcentral
GCUGGGUGUGGUGGCCCAUGCCUGUAAUCCCAGUGGCUUGGGAGACUGAGGCAGGAGGAUCGAGAGUUCAAAUCCAGCCUCAG